Molecule: long non-coding RNA, 1074 nt
Filed under: Homo sapiens (human)
Lineage: Eukaryota; Metazoa; Chordata; Mammalia; Primates; Hominidae
Description: HSALNT0398819
Source: RNAcentral
ACGCAGGCGUGCCUGCGCAGUGCGCGGAGGAGUGCUGUUCGUGUGUUCGAGUCCCUGGGUUGCUUCCUGGGGUCUGUGGUGCUGGGUGUGCUAUCUGCGUGUGAUUCUCUAGCGAGAGAUUGUGGGCGAGUGACCGAGUGGGCAAGGGGCCGUCACUGUGUGUGCGUGAUUUUGACAGUGUGUGGUGGUAGCUUCUGACUCCGCGUGGGUCGUUGAAUGUAUGACUGGGACCGUUUAGCGGUGGAUACACAACUGUGUGCGGCUGUGGAAGAUUGCCUCAUCCGUUACGUUCCCAUUUCCGUGGAACAACAGUUUUACCAGAAGGUUUCGAAGGAACCUUAAAGUUUGGAAGCGCGGCUUUGGUGUCAUCAAAUGUGAGAAGCCCUGGACUUUACACAUCCCGAGCCAGUGUGAUCCAGUAUGAUUGGGAGUCCGAGUGCCAGAUGCCGGUCAGGACCUGUUAUGCUGGGUCUCAGAAUGCGGAAACUCUCCCUGUCCGAGGUGGAACAGUUUGUCCUUGAGUGAGGACUGGAGUCCUGAGUGACUCUUUUGAUUUGAUCCUGUUUCCCUCAAACCUGAGAUGGGAGCCUCACUGUAUUGCCCAGGCUGGUCUUGAACUCCGGAGCUCAAGUGAUCGUCUUGCUUCAGCCUUGCAAAAUGAUGGUGAAGCUGCAUCAUUGUCUGGGAUGGAGUCCCUGUCUGACCGGGCCAUGUUGUAUGUUCCUUGCUGUACACGUGGUUGACAAAGAAAAGGGAAGAUGGAGCUGCGAUGUUGGACAUGCCUGGCCCCCAGGACAUACAGCCCUGCCGAGCAAAUAAUGAACGUAACUCACAAACUUCCUGCUUAUCAUCAAACGCACGCAUCCACUUAUCAUCAAACACCUCGGGUGACAGAAGAAUGCAGGUCAGCUCCCUGCUGCCUUGGCAUUAUCAAUCAGCCCAGGAACCAUCCUAUAAAAUCUCCAGCAAGCCUUUGUUUCCUUGCAGUCAGCUCCUCUUCCACUGAUUCUGCCUGUUGCUCCCUGAUAACAUACUUUGAUACUGUCUUUAAUAAAUCUGCCUUUCUUCACCCAC